Molecule: ribosomal RNA, 277 nt
Filed under: uncultured bacterium
Lineage: Bacteria
Description: partial 16S ribosomal RNA
Rfam family: Bacterial small subunit ribosomal RNA
Source: RNAcentral
GACGAACGCUGGCGGCGUGCGUAAUACAUGCAAGUCGAGCGGGCUCGGAUUUCGGUCCGAGUUAGCGGCGGACGGGUGAGUAACGCGUGAGUGACCUAGCCUGUUGGUGGGGGAUAACUGCCCGAAAGGGUGGCUAAUCCCGCAUGAUCCCUUUGGGUCAAUCUAAAGGGGAAAGCUUCGCAAGAGGCGCCGGAGGGGGGGCUUGCGUCCCAUUAGGUGGUUGGUGGGGUAGUGGCCUACCAAGCCGAUGAUGGGUAGCUGGUCUGAGAGGAUGGCC